UACGUAGGGUGCGAGCGUUGUCCGGAAUUAUUGGGCGUAAAGGGCUCGUAGGCGGUCUGUCGCGUCGGUAGUGAAAACUCAGGGCUUAACCCUGAGCCUGCUUCCGAUACGGGCAGACUAGAGGUAUGCAGGGGAGAACGGAAUUCCUGGUGUAGCGGUGAAAUGCGCAGAUAUCAGGAGGAACACCGGUGGCGGAGGCGGUUCUCUGGGCAUUACCUGACGCUGAGGAGCGAAAGUGUGGGGAGCGAACAGG
RNAcentral lists this ribosomal RNA (253 nucleotides) under uncultured bacterium. RNAcentral's name for it is "partial 16S ribosomal RNA". It matches the Rfam family "Bacterial small subunit ribosomal RNA", at positions 524 to 776 of the family's 1533-position model. The record is from RNAcentral.